CAAUAAGCACUCCGCCUGGGGAGUACGGCCGCAAGGUUAAAACUCAAAGGAAUUGACGGGGGCCUGCACAAGUGGUGGAGCAUGUUUUCUACUUCGACGCAACGCGAAGAACCUUACCAGGUUUUGACAUCUUCGGACAGCCCAAGAGAUUGGGUCUUCCCUUCGGGGACAGAAUGACAGGUGGUGCAUGGUUGUCGUCAGCUCGUGUCGUGAGAUGUUGGGUUAAGUCCCGUAACGAGCGCAACCCCUGAUCUUAGUUGCCAGCAUUGAGUUGGGCACUCUAGGAUGACUGCCGGUGACAAACCGGAGGAAGGCGGGGAUGACGUCAAAUCAUCAUGCCCCUUAUGACCUGGGCUACACACGUGCUACAAUGGAUGGUACAAAGGGAAGCCAAACCGCGAGGUCGAGCUAAUCCCAUAAAGCCAUUCUCAGUUCGGAUUGUAGGCUGCAACUCGCCUGCAUGAAGCCGGAAUCGCUAGUAAUCGCGGAUCAGAAUGCCGCGGUGAAUACGUUCCCAGGCCUUGUACACACCGCCCGUCACACCACGAGAGUUGGCAACACCCGAAGUCGGUGGGGUAACCUUCACGGAGCCAGCCGC
This 598-nucleotide ribosomal RNA is filed under the name Alkalibacillus salilacus. RNAcentral's name for it is "bacterial SSU rRNA". It matches the Rfam family "Bacterial small subunit ribosomal RNA", at positions 858 to 1456 of the family's 1533-position model. The record is from RNAcentral. Lineage: Bacteria; Bacillati; Bacillota; Bacilli; Caryophanales; Bacillaceae.